RNAcentral lists this ribosomal RNA (195 nucleotides) under uncultured bacterium. RNAcentral describes it as "partial 16S ribosomal RNA". It matches the Rfam family "Bacterial small subunit ribosomal RNA", at positions 326 to 539 of the family's 1533-position model. The record is from RNAcentral.
ACGCUCGACACCUACAGGCAGCAGUGGGGAAUAUUGCACAAUGGGGGAAACCCUGAUGCAGCGACGCCGCGUGAAGGAAGAAGUAUCUCGGUAUGUAAACUUCUAUCAGCAGGGAAGAAAAUGACGGUACCUGACUAAGAAGCCCCGGCUAACUACGUGCCAUCAGCCGCGGUAAUCUGAGCGGGCUGGCAAGGC